Molecule: transfer RNA, 70 nt
Filed under: Neisseria elongata
Lineage: Bacteria; Pseudomonadati; Pseudomonadota; Betaproteobacteria; Neisseriales; Neisseriaceae
Also listed under: 6 other names
Description: tRNA-Gly(tcc)
Source: RNAcentral
GGCAGACAGAUGCCGGAGGAAUUACAUUCCACGUCCGAAGGUCGCGGGUUCGAGUCCCGCCCUGCCGCCA